UACGUAGGGGGCAAGCGUUGUCCGGAUUUAUUGGGCGUAAAGCGCUCGCAGGUGGUUCGUCGCGUCGUGCGUGAAAGACCCCGGCUCAACUGGGGAGGGUCGUGCGAUACGGGCGAACUGGAGGCCAGUAGGGGGAUGCGGAAUUCCGGGUGUAGUGGUGGAAUGCGUAGAGAUCCGGAGGAACACCAGCGGCGAAGGCGGGUCUCUGGGCCGAAAUUGACGCUGAGGAGCGAAAGCGUGGGGAGCAAACAGG
This 253-nucleotide ribosomal RNA is filed under the name uncultured bacterium. Its description in RNAcentral is "partial 16S ribosomal RNA". It matches the Rfam family "Bacterial small subunit ribosomal RNA", at positions 524 to 776 of the family's 1533-position model. The record is from RNAcentral.